Molecule: ribosomal RNA, 179 nt
Filed under: Pseudoalteromonas sp.
Lineage: Bacteria; Pseudomonadati; Pseudomonadota; Gammaproteobacteria; Alteromonadales; Pseudoalteromonadaceae
Description: partial 16S ribosomal RNA
Rfam family: Bacterial small subunit ribosomal RNA
Source: RNAcentral
AUAGCAGCCUAACAUGCAAGUCGAGCGGUACAGANNGUAGCUUGCUACUUUGCUGACGAGCGGCGGACGGGUGAGUAAUGCUUGGGAACAUGCCUUGAGGUGGGGGACAACAGAUUGGAAACGACUGCUAAUACCGCAUAAUGUCUACGGACCAAAGGGGGCUUCNGCUCUCGCCUUUA